Long non-coding RNA from Scleropages formosus (Asian bonytongue), 3283 nucleotides. Lineage: Eukaryota; Metazoa; Chordata; Actinopteri; Osteoglossiformes; Osteoglossidae. The record is from Ensembl.
AUUUGGUAGCUGUACAUCGGAAUUUUUUAAAAUGUAUGCUAAAGGUCAUACGAUUCCAUCCUUCAUUCUUUUUUGUAAACUUAUCGAUUUUUAAAAAAAGAAAAAAAAAAAUCAUCAAAGUUUGUUUGGUCUUUACAGGUACUCCGACUCUUGGACAGUCUUCAUAUAAACUUUCUGUUGUGGAAACUGCAGAGUUAAUACUGUGGCUCGCGUCCUCUGUGCUGACCUCAUGGUGUAACCACGAGUAAAGAUGAGCAUAAGCAGUGAUGAGGUCAACUUCCUCGUUUACAGAUACCUGCAGGAGUCUGGCUUCUCCCAUUCAGCGUUCACGUUUGGUAUAGAGAGCCACAUCAGCCAGUCGAACAUCAACGGCGCCCUGGUGCCCCCUGCUGCUCUCAUCUCCAUCAUACAGAAGGGCCUGCAGUACGUGGAGGCAGAAGUCAGCAUCAACGAGGAUGGCACCCUGUUUGACGGCCGGCCGAUCGAAUCGCUCUCGCUUAUUGAUGCAGUGAUGCCCGACGUGGUGCAGACGCGACAGCAGGCCUACCGGGAUAAGCUGGCCCAGCAACAGGCCGCUGCAGCACCCCCUGCUGCCACCAGCUUGCAGGGCAGCGCUAAGAAUGGCGAGAGCACCACCAACGGCGAGGAGAAUGGGGCUCACACCUUAGCAAACAACCAUGCCGACAUGAUGGAGGUGGAUGGUGAUGUGGAGAUCCCGCAGAACAAAGCCAUGGUGCUACGUGGCCACGAGUCAGAGGUUUUCAUCUGCGCCUGGAAUCCUGUCAGUGACCUCCUCGCCUCUGGGUCCGGGGACUCGACGGCUCGCAUCUGGAACCUGAGCGAGAACAGUAGCAGCGGCUCCACGCAGCUCGUGCUGCGGCACUGCAUACGAGAAGGAGGGCAGGAUGUGCCGAGCAACAAGGACGUCACGUCACUAGACUGGAAUAGUGAAGGCACACUACUAGCAACUGGCUCUUAUGAUGGAUUUGCAAGAAUAUGGACGAAAGAUGGUAAUCUUGCCAGUACCUUGGGUCAGCACAAGGGUCCUAUUUUUGCCUUGAAGUGGAAUAAAAAAGGAAAUUUCAUUCUCAGUGCUGGUGUUGAUAAGACCACAAUCAUUUGGGAUGCUCACACCGGAGAAGCAAAGCAACAGUUUCCCUUUCAUUCAGCUCCUGCACUGGAUGUGGACUGGCAAAGUAACAACACGUUUGCUUCGUGCAGCACUGAUAUGUGUAUCCACGUGUGUAAACUUGGCCAGGACAGACCCAUCAAGACAUUCCAGGGGCACACAUGUCACAGAGGGCAUUGGCACUUGACUAUGGUUUUAUUACUGAGUUUUAGGGUUUUGGCUUCUUGGCAGAUCUGGAGUAUGAAACAAGACACCUGUGUUCAUGAUUUGCAAGCGCACAGCAAAGAAAUUUAUACUAUUAAAUGGAGUCCCACUGGGCCUGGAACCAACAACCCUAAUGCCAACCUUAUGCUUGCCAGUGCGUCCUUCGACUCGACUGUUCGACUGUGGGAUGUCGACCGAGGGAUCUGCAUCCACACAUUGACCAAACAUCAGGAACCCGUGUACAGUGUUGCCUUCAGCCCAGACGGCAGAUACUUGGCCAGUGGCUCCUUUGACAAGUGUGUCCAUAUCUGGAACACGCAGACUGGUUCUUUAGUUCAUAGCUACAGGGGAACAGGAGGCAUCUUUGAGGUUUGUUGGAAUGCCACAGGGGACAAAGUGGGCGCAAGUGCAUCAGACGGAUCGGUGUGUGUAUUAGACCUGCGGAAAUAACACUGCUUGUUGGAAGCCAUGGACCGACUAUGAAUGUGUACAUAGCCAAAAUUGACUGUCCCUGCCUCGUUUACUGCUGCGGUCCCAUCGGAACCAUGGCCGACCACUACAGCCAAAACAAGCAGAAUGAAGAAGAGAAGAGGGCGCGCUCCUACCCUGUUGUCCACGCUGGGGACACCACCCACUGACGCAAAACCGAUGUUAUGUGUCGACUUGGAAACGGAGGAAUAAGGACCCGUAUACAUGUACCAAAAUCUGAAAGAUUUCUUUUGGUUAGCCAAACCAAGGAUUUUUAUUCUUUAUUGGUAGAUCACUAUGUGUGUGACAUAUCUGCUUCACAUGUGGCAGGAGGAUUUUUUCCUUUCUAAACGUUUUUUUUUUUUUUUUUUUUUUUUUUUUUUAAUUUUAAUUUGAAUUUUUUUGUUUAGGUUACAGCUGCAUGAAAUGGCGGAGUCGAAUCGGCUUCCUCCACUUCUUCUGGAGAGAAUGCAGUUUUAAAAUGUCUUUGGCACUGUACGUAAUAUGGUUCAAACACGUGGGGCUGCUGUUUUUUUAUUUUAUUUUAAUUUUUAAUUUUCCUUUCUCUACUUUUGACUAUGGUUUUACUGUUGACAUACAGGUGCAGCAGAUUUUUUUAAGGGGAUAUUUAUUCUGCGGAAUAUAAAGGAAUACUAAAAAUAAGGUGGGCACAAAAAUUUGAGAAGAUGCAUUAUGCAUCAUUUUGCUUUAAAACCAUAAUUAUGGUUAGAUUGUGCACUAUUGAUAAAGCAACAUAAAAAUGUUCAUUCAUAGAACAUUCUGGACAAAGGAUGACUGCUGUAAGUGUAUUCAGGAAUCUCCCUUCAUUAGUAUAUUGCAGAUAACUUGUUGGUUCACAACAAAAUUAGACUUCAGUAUUAAUCACUGAUGAGGUGUAGCCUAUACGAAAUGUGCAUGGCACAGUUUAUUAAAAACGAACAUUAGAUAGACUAACAUCUACAAUAUAUCACUAGAAAAGGGAAGACUUGCUUUUUUUGAUAAACUUGUAAACUUGAACUUUUCCAGUUAAUGUUUCAUAGUUUUUCAUAUUUAGUUUUUUGACAGAAAUGCAGUAGUGCAGCAUCAAAUGUUGUUUUAAAUAUUAAAAGCUUAAAGCCAGUCUGGGUGCUGGGCAGGUGGAAGAAACUGCAGAGAGUGAUAUGGAACAAGCAUUGUAACCACAUCGAAACCUUAUUCACAGGACAUUGUUUUAUAUAUUACUCAUAAAUAAGGGUAGUUUUAUAGUGUAUUAUUUUGUGCCGUUUAAAACACAAUUGCCAGUGUGUGGAAAUUACACAUUACGUGGAAUGUUUUUACCAGACAGUGGUUCUCUCAGUUGUUGCUUCAGAAAAUCCAAUAAGAUUCUCCUAAAGAGGAUCAUUCUUUUGUCUUCUGUCUCACAUGUCUUUUGGCGGCUGAAACUAUUUUUUUUUUUUUUUUUUUUUAAAUAAAUUGUCCCCAGGAUUUGGCUGUUUAAAAUAU